Molecule: unclassified non-coding RNA, 269 nt
Filed under: rhizosphere metagenome
Description: partial ribosomal RNA internal transcribed spacer region
Source: RNAcentral
AAGAUCACCCGGUCGCCCCCCUCGCGCCUCACGCAGGCCUGGGGCCGGAAACGGCCCCAGUGACGUCGGGGGAUCGAUACCGGGGGCCAGAGCGCCCCCGGGCCGGAUGAAUCCCACCCGUGUCUACAUACUCUUGUUGCUUUGGCAGGCCGUGGUCUCCACUGUGGGCUCUGCCUGCACGUGCCUGCCAGAGGACCAACCUCUGAAUUUUAGUGAUGUCUGAGUACUAUAUAAUAGUUAAAACUUUCAACAACGGAUCUCUUGGUUCU